AUUCCUACGGGAGGCAGCAGUGGGGAAUCUUAGACAAUGGGCGCAAGCCUGAUCUAGCCAUGCCGCGUGAGUGACGAAGGCCUUAGGGUCGUAAAGCUCUUUCGCCAGGGAUGAUAAUGACAGUACCUGGUAAAGAAACCCCGGCUAACUCCGUGCCAGCAGCCGCGGUAAUACGGAGGGGGUUAGCGUUGUUCGGAAUUACUGGGCGUAAAGCGCACGUAGGCGGACUGGAAAGUUGGGGGUGAAAUCCCGGGGCUCAACCUCGGAACUGCCUCCAAAACUACUAGUCUAGAGUUCGAGAGAGGUGAGUGGAAUUCCGAGUGUAGAGGUGAAAUUCGUAGAUAUUCGGAGGAACACCAGUGGCGAAGGCGGCUCACUGGCUCGAUACUGACGCUGAGGUGCGAAAGUGUGGGGAGCAAACAGGAUUAGAUACCCUGGUAGUCCACACCGUAAACGAUGAAUGCCAGUCGUCGGCAAGCAUGCUUGUCGGUGACACACCUAACGGAUUAAGCAUUCCGCCUGGGGAGUACGGUCGCAAGAUUAAAACUCAAAUGAAUUGACGGAAU
This 566-nucleotide ribosomal RNA is filed under the name uncultured bacterium. RNAcentral describes it as "bacterial SSU rRNA". It matches the Rfam family "Bacterial small subunit ribosomal RNA", at positions 335 to 919 of the family's 1533-position model. The record is from RNAcentral.